CGUCUGUUCCGUUUGAGCUGAGAGGUCUUUAGUAGUCACAUCAUAUCAUAUAUCAUACAUCCACACAUACGCACAAUAUAUAUAUUCAUAUAUAUACUGUACUGCUAUAUGUCAAACACUGGAGUAUAAAAAAGGAGCCGACCAGGUCGUCAGCGGGAGACCUGCGGUCACGUAUAGAAAAAUAUGAGCAUCUCCGCACUGUUCUACACACUGUUGCUACAACCACACAUUCCAUUCAAAUGCUAAACACAAACAAGUGAAAAAUAAAGAUCAAGACCUCUAAAUAGGAGGAGCCGGACGGCAGCUGACCCGGGGAACGGACCCGGGCUGGGUCGGGCCCGAAAGCGGCCCGGAUGCGUCCCAGGCGCAGCUACGACCUGGCGAGGGCUACAUCUACACCCUGACCCCUGACCCCUUGACCCUGGGGCUGCUGGGGCUCCCAGUGGCGGAGGCAAUAUUGUGGCGUUUACAGUAAAGUGGACUGCAGCGUUGCAUCUCUUGGUUGAAGGAAGCUAGCUUAGACGGACUGUGUAUUGCUUGAGUAAAGUACUGUCUUGGAGUGGAAGUGUGUUCCGGUCAGGGGGUGACUGGGGGGUAAGUCAGUGAUGACGGGCCCAAACGGGCCGUUGAGGAACCAAACGGGCUCGGCCCUCUGGCGGAACCUCCAGCGCCGGUGGCUGUUAUAGGCAACCGGACUGCAGAGGUGUACACACACACACACACACACACACACACACACACACACACACACACACACACACACACACACACACACACACACACACACACACACACACACACACACACAGCAGGCUCAGGGGUAAAAGGCGUUUUGAACAAGUAACUAUGAGCAGCUGACCCUUAACCUUGAAAGAUUCUGUGUUUCCCUAAAGCAUGGCGGUCCCACCACCAGCAUGAAGAACCAAGAUGUCUCUCAGUCAGUCAAACAUGGUGGAAACACAGACCAGCUUUUGGGAGGCAAAGCCCUGGUGGAUGCAUCCAGCCAAGAGCCUGACAUCUACGAGCAGUUACUGAACCAGGAGGUCAUGCUUAAGGCUUGUUUCAGAUUUGGUCUGUUUCGUUGGUCUGAACCCGUGAGAACUUGGCUUGUAGAGCAUCCAGGCAUCGCCAAUGGUCACGCAGGGGUCUAGUGUUAGUAUUUUCAAGAGCAUUGCAUGUUAGUUAAUACUACUUUAACAGUGAGUUAUUCAUCUUGGGAUCAUUUGGAUCCACCAGCGGUCAUAAAUUGCGUUUACUUUCUGGUUUUAGAUCGGAAAACUGUAAUGCCAAAUACAGACCUCACUGGAGCUCUGUGGUUUAAUAUCGGAUAGCUUUAAUGCCAAAUACAGACCCCACUGGAGCUCUGUGGUUUA
Clupea harengus (Atlantic herring) is the source of this 1373-nucleotide long non-coding RNA. The record is from Ensembl. Lineage: Eukaryota; Metazoa; Chordata; Actinopteri; Clupeiformes; Clupeidae.